RNAcentral lists this long non-coding RNA (306 nucleotides) under Capsella rubella. Its description in RNAcentral is "long non-coding RNA (CRUB_LNC000002)". Lineage: Eukaryota; Viridiplantae; Streptophyta; Magnoliopsida; Brassicales; Brassicaceae. The record is from RNAcentral.
UGUUGUAAUACAGUGAAUAUGAUUGAUUACAAGUGCUAGAGAUGCAUGAAGAAUGUAUAAAAGAGAGAAGAAAGACUUGUUGAUAUUUGGUCACAAAUGGGAUAAGAACCCAAAGCCAUUGCUUUGAGGCAGUGAAUGGCUUGUAUAAAGUUAUUUAGGGUUAGAAUAUGUUAUAAUACAAUGAAUAUGAUUGAUUACAAGUGCUAGAGAUGAAUGAAGAAUGUAUAAAAGUGAGAAGAAAGACUUGUUGAUAUUUGGUCACAAAUGGGAUAAGAACCCAAAACCAUUGCUUUGAGGCAGUGAAUG